This 449-nucleotide long non-coding RNA is filed under the name Cicer arietinum (chickpea). RNAcentral describes it as "long non-coding RNA (CARI_LNC000001)". Lineage: Eukaryota; Viridiplantae; Streptophyta; Magnoliopsida; Fabales; Fabaceae. The record is from RNAcentral.
CAAAGCCUAGUUAAAUGCUUUCAAAAAUAUAGAAGUAAAUUUUGGAUCUUUGUUAGACACUAUGCUAACUAGUAUUCCAUGCAAUCUUAUCAUCUCUGACAUACACACCUUUUGUUUUCCUUCCCGUUUAGACGUGGUGUAAGUGGUUUUAACAUGUAAGAAAUGUGCCGAUUUGGUUAAUCUAUGAACUAUUACCCAAAUUGGAUCAUGAAUCACCUGCGUAUGAGGUAAUCCUACUAUGAAAUCCAUAGACAUUUUCUCCCAAUUCUACAUCAUGGAAUUUCUAGAGGUUGGAGUAUGCCUCCUAGUCUUUGGUGUUCAAUCUUCACUCCCUAACGAACCAAAUAUUGUGCUACAAAUUUACAAUAUCAGUCUUCAUUCGAGGCCACCAAUAAUAUUUCUUCAAAUUCUUGUAUAUUUUGGUGGAUCCUUGAUGAAUGAUGAAAUUA